CUUCACCAGCGGGCCCCUUUCCCGAGGCAGUCCCUGCUCUCCCCUGCGAGAGGGGCACCCUAAUCCGUUCACCCCAUCCGACUUCAGAAUGUAUUCGUUGGGUUCAGCAACUCACCACCAGCAUCCAACCAAUUCUGUAUGUGUGGGCUGCCUGUAUGUGGUAGUGCGAGUUAACUGAAGCAAAGGUGGAAUUGCGCGCUCUCUGCAUGAGAUCUCUGCAUGAGCUUUUAAGGAGACAUAAUUAGACAGGUCAUGCAGAUUGUACGACUUGUCCCAAAACCCUGUUCAUAAAAGGGCUGCCUGGAUCGAAACGGAACCAAAACUGUUCCAUAACAAGUUGUAUUGUCGCUUUGAGAGUUGUUUGUAAAAUCCUGUGAUGCCAGCCAACCGACCCGCGCCUCGUGCGGGUUGGUUUGGUUGGUUUCCUCCAUAUGGAUAUGAGCUACUGCGUUGGGCUUGAGGCGUGUCCGACCGGAGAAGGCGUGGCAGCAUAUGCUGGUACGUCAGCUAAAAAAAUGCUUCGAUCGUCUUUUAAAGCAGCAUUCAAUUUUUCAUGCGCGAGUGCUUUGCCUGCUGUGAUCUCCCUUCUGGUUUGGUUGCAUUUGCAAUGGCGAGCAUUCGGCUUAGUGGUCAUGGUGCAAGUUUUAAAUUGUGAGCGCCCAGCGGCACGAAGCCUCAUCCCGCCAGCAAUCAGUCCAUCCGACGGAACUCUUUCCAGUGUUCCAGGUUCAUCUUCCAAACCUCGUUCGUUAAAACCUCGUUCUUGUUUCCCUUCCCGUUCGUUCAACCAAACCACUCCCGUACGUUUCGGAGCCAAGGGCAUAUUGCUUGCACGAGCUCUUGGCCCUUGGUUCCUGCGCUUCGACACAUCAAGGCAUCAAGGCUCUCGCCGACAAAGACCUGCUGGCGCGCAGUAAACAGUUUGGGCAGUCAGCAAAUCUCACUGCAGCCCACAACAAGCACACUGCAGCACCAAAACCCCACCACCACAUACAUCAUACAGGCAGGCGGCUGGCAGAGGUUAAGGCCUGACUUCUGCUCCCGGUCGACCCGGGUUCAAAUCCGCCUGCCGACCUCUCGGGUGUUUGAGAGGUGGUGAAAUGGGAGGUGGCCCCCCAUCUUGUGGACGGUGUAGGACGUGAUAAAAUCAACUUGCGAGCUGACCAGGAACUAAGUUGAGGCGCCGUUGAUCCGCUAGAUUUGGUUGGAUGCUGGUGGUGAGUUGCCAAACUCAAAGAGUACACUCUGAAGUCGGAUGGGGUGAAUGGCUUAGGGUGCCCCACUAGCAGGGGAGAGCAGGGAAUUGCCUCGGGAAGGAGGCCACUGGUGAAGCUUAACCACCCUGUAACAACAUCAACAUACAUCACAUCAUCGACAUCGACAUCGGCCGGUGUUAAGGGCGAAGAGUUCCAGCACAUUCACACGCCGCCGCGUUCCUGCUACAAGCCCCACUUCCCAUCACUCCCUCGUCGCGCAGCGCACCUCAUCAUGGAAUACCGCACAUGGAAUUACACAAUAUUCGCACCCACACGUAGCUGCGAAUCAAAGGACAUCCAAACCACGCGCAUCUGAAUGCAGCGCGCACAAUAAAAGCCAAUAAGGCGCAGCAAGGCGACAAAAAGGAAUCCACCGUUCCGCAGCAGGGAUCCAUCGCUUUCGUUUUUCCCCCAGCCCCCAACCCUAACAAACCCUCCCGAUCAGGUGUCCGCCACGCGCGCACCGCUGUGGCGAUACGAGUGUGGUUAUAGCCCCCGCUGUAGCGCCCCUCCGCUAGUUAACCAACCGCCGCGCGCUCCGAAACAACAACCAACCACCCUAACCAACUCACGCGUGGUGAGCCGACGACAUGGGUAACGUUUCGCGAGAUAGUACCCACCGUUGCUCCGAAAAAGGUGCCUGGGUCGCUUAUGUGGGAAUAUAUGUGUCUGUGUGUGGAUCAUCGCGUGAUCUUAUCUUAUGCAAUGAACUGCGAGGAUAUUUGCAAAACGCCGAAGAAACGUAGGUAGAGCACUGCAAGAAGCCUUGAGGAAAGGUCGGUGUGGCGGCGGUAUCAC
RNAcentral lists this long non-coding RNA (2054 nucleotides) under Volvox carteri. RNAcentral's name for it is "long non-coding RNA (VCAR_LNC000258)". The record is from RNAcentral. Lineage: Eukaryota; Viridiplantae; Chlorophyta; Chlorophyceae; Chlamydomonadales; Volvocaceae.